This 73-nucleotide transfer RNA is filed under the name candidate division WS6 bacterium OLB20. RNAcentral describes it as "tRNA-Met". It matches the Rfam family "tRNA". From Rfam's summary of the family: Transfer RNA (tRNA) molecules are approximately 80 nucleotides in length. The record is from RNAcentral.
CGCGGGGUGGAGCAGUGGCAGCUCGUCAGGCUCAUAACCUGAAGGUCAGAGGUUCGAAUCCUCUCCCCGCAAC